Molecule: ribosomal RNA, 253 nt
Filed under: uncultured bacterium
Lineage: Bacteria
Description: partial 16S ribosomal RNA
Rfam family: Bacterial small subunit ribosomal RNA
Source: RNAcentral
UACGUAGGGUGCGAGCGUUGUCCGGAAUUAUUGGGCGUAAAGAGCUUGUAGGCGGUUUGUCGCGUCUGCCGUGAAAAUUCGAGGCUCAACCUCGAACUUGCGGUGGGUACGGGCAGACUAGAGUGUGGUAGGGGAGACUGGAAUUCCUGGUGUAGCGGUGAAAUGCGCAGAUAUCAGGAGGAACACCGGUGGCGAAGGCGGGUCUCUGGGCAACAACUGACGCUGAGGAGCGAAAGCGUGGGGAGCGAACAGG